AGUUGCUCAUUCAACUUUUUAUGUCGGCCCACAAUCGGGUGGAAACAUGCCACAUAAGCCUGGAAUGAUGCCGAAGUAAGGUGCCUACCGUCCAACUCAAUGAUAUUCGCCUUCGGGCCUUAUCAAACACAGGGCGACACGUGGAGUGAGGCACCACCUA
RNAcentral lists this small RNA (160 nucleotides) under Xenorhabdus szentirmaii DSM 16338. Its description in RNAcentral is "Glm Y RNA activator of glmS mRNA". It matches the Rfam family "Glm Y RNA activator of glmS mRNA". From Rfam's summary of the family: This family consists of a number of bacterial RNA genes of around 167 bases in length. The function of this RNA is unknown. The record is from Rfam by way of RNAcentral. Lineage: Bacteria; Pseudomonadati; Pseudomonadota; Gammaproteobacteria; Enterobacterales; Morganellaceae.